RNAcentral lists this ribosomal RNA (484 nucleotides) under uncultured bacterium. Its description in RNAcentral is "partial 16S ribosomal RNA". It matches the Rfam family "Bacterial small subunit ribosomal RNA", at positions 30 to 507 of the family's 1533-position model. The record is from RNAcentral.
AUUGAACGCUGGCGGCAGGCCUAACACAUGCAAGUCGAGCGGAUGAAGGGAGCUUGCUCCUGGAUUCAGCGGCGGACGGGUGAGUAAUGCCUAGGAAUCUGCCUGGUAGUGGGGAAUAAGGCCUGGAAACGGGCGUAAAUACGGCAAACGUCCUGAGGGAGAAAGUGGGGGACUUUCGACCCAUACCCUACCGGUCAAGCCUAGGUCGGAUUAGCUAGUUGGUGGGGUAAAGGCUUUCCAAGGCGACGAUCCGUAACUGGUCUGAGAGGAUGAUCAGUCACACUGGAACUGAGACACGGUCCAGACUCCUACGGGAGGCAGCAGUGGGGAAUAUUGGACGAUGGGCGAAAGCCUGAUCCAGCCAUGCCGCGUGUGUUAAGAAGGUCUUCGGAUUGUAAAGCACUUUAAGUUGGGAGGAAGGACAGUAAGUUAAUACCUUGCUGUUUUGACGUUACCAACAGAAUAAGCACCGGCUAACUUCGUG